CCCUCCCCCUCCUCCCCCUCCACUUCGACUCUCCUAAAUCUUUUAAUCAUGACACUGACAGAAAGUAUUUUUUGCCUUCUCGCUCCCUUGAUGUGCCAGUAUCAGUGCCCCCCCCCCCCCCUUCCUCUCCCUAUUGUAGAGCCUUAAUGAGCACGCAGGCGUGAUCUGUAAAUGAUUCAAUAACUGGGAGAAGAAUCUUUGAUUAUUUCUCCCUCCCCUUUGUUUUAUAAUUGAAAUAGACUUUUCAUCGGCAGAGACUCAUUCAAAGGCGUCACAUCUUGAGGCUCGUUGCUCGUUGUUCCUGAGACCUGCGUUGUGGCCGGACAAUUCUGUUAAUUGGGUUUUGAGCUUUGGUCAUUUGCUGCGGUCUGUUUUUAAUCUAUAAUCCAACUCUACUCUGGAGCUGUAAUCCUGUUUUCUUUUUCUAAAGCAGGAAUCUAAAGUGUCCAGAUGUGUAUCGCGAGGAGUAAAACACACCUGAAAAAGUGUUUUGUCCGAAAAUAAAACAUGAACGUGCACAUGAAUCAGUGCAGCCAAAUCAACUACUGUUGUUUUUCUAAAGAAAUCCGGCGAUAAUGAACCUUUUCCCGUCAUUAUGUGAUUUAAUGCUGCAGCAUGAAGGGCACAGUGAACAGAGGGGCGGUUGUGGGGCCUGUCGCCUCCAGCUCUUCAUCUGCCUUUGGGCCCCCCCCACCCUUCUUCAUCAGCUAUCAAACAGUGCCCUAAAUGACUGUUCUGUUUAGCAAUCAGCGCUAACCUCCAACCAUCAAACUCUGCAUUCUAAUGUGUUUUCACACCAUGAAACAUGCAACUUUUACUCUAUUGUAAUAUUUCGGGUGGAAAUCUCAUAGUCAACUCCACCUGCACAAAGCAACACCCCCCCGCCCCCCGUGCUAAAGUUCACCAAAUUAAUUGACAUCUGGAGAGGCUCAGCAGAUUCAUCCCAACCACCCAGCAGUAACUGUAGACACACACACACACACACACACACCUCCCCGGAACAAACUACUCCAUCAUGAGAGGUGUCAGAAGAGGAUCAAGAGAUGAUGAAACAGCUCCAUGUGCCGUGUACGACGCUGUGCUUUUGAUCAGAUCCCCCCUCAUCGCUUCCCUCCCUCCCGCUACUUCUCUUCUAUUUCUCAGCUGAUGUGGGGAGGAAAUGUGCCUCCACGAAAAUGAAACCAAACAAACAAAUGAGAUUGGGUGUGUUGACCUCGCUUUGUAAUCCCCCCCCGUGAAAUGUGACUGGCGGUGCGGGCGGGCGCAGCAGCAGCGGGCGCUUGGUGUCGAAAAAGAGAGCGUUUUGUUUGCAAGGCAGAAAGAGAAGCGGACUUGACGAUGCAUCAUUCUGGGACGGAGCGGGUGACCUGAUUAAUGAGCGGAUGUGGUGCGAUCUCAGAGGGUAAAAGAGAUGAAGACGCAGAUGUGGUGGGAGGGAGCCAGAGCGCGCUAACAAACGAACCUUUGGAUGACGAGCGUCUUCGUUUUCUCUUCUUCUUCCACCUCGUUUCACGCGCAUGUUUUCACACGUGUCGCCUCACAUGAACAUCCACGGCGGCUCACUAAACAACUACCGCGUAUUAACAUUUAAAUAGACAUGUCUGCUUCUCUCUUCUAUGAAUGCUUCCCUGCAUUUCAAACGGAUUGGUCGUGGACGGGGUGUGUAAUGUCAAAGCGCUUUUCAGCCAAUUUGCUAUCAUCACAAUCCGUUGCUACGGUAACCAAUUUAACAUUUAUUCAUCCCGUUGAUUAUGAGUAACUAAAGUGCAGCGCCAGGUGUGCAACUCUUCAAGCCACACAAGAGGGAGAACCCCCUUUACCCAAAGAGACAGAGACGUCUUGUUUCCGGACAGAAAGCAUGAACUUGCCUCGCCAUCGCUCCGUGUUUGUCAGCUGCGCUGUGUAUGUACCAUUACGCCGUUUCAGGCCCUUGCCUUCAGAAAUCUAUUCCCCGACGCCGCAGCCGGCAGCAGAGAGAAGCGGCCUGGGGAGGAGGCCCGAGCGCCGCUCGUCUAAAGCGCGCCAGCUCAAGAUACUUUGUCUUUCCCAACGUGCAGGGGACUUUUAUCGCAACGCGCUGCUCCGCUUCACCAUUUGCACAAGUCGAUCCGCGUCACGGGAGAAAACCUCUAAAUAAAUGUCAGCUUAAAACGACCGGCGGCUCUUUGUUGGGCGCUUGCGUUCGGCAGUGCCAGAGAUUUAAUUGGAAGAUGAGAUGUAGAUUCUGGGAUUCACGCGUUUGCAGACAAAGAGGGGCAAAAUGAAAGGGAGAAAUUAGCCAAAAAAAGGAUGGAUGAGCCCGAUGGUGGAGGAAGAGGUUAAAAAAAAAGAGCCUUUCCUGCUCAUUCUGCUUUGUUAGCAUCCGAACGGUGCUAUUAACUAUGCAUGUUAUAAAGGCAAGAAUAAUUUAGAAUGCAUAUCCGUGGUCAACAAAGUCACCUGUGGUUUUACUGCAGAGUCGCCUUGCAGGUGUAAUUUAGCUAAAUCCUCUUGACAGGAUGAAACCUGUUUCUCAUUAUCCUGCAACGGUUCGCAGCCUGAUCCAGACGAGGCCAUAAAAAGGUGCUGCCAAUUUCCCGUUGAGGGUCAUUGGAGGUUUUAGAGCAGACUUUGGCUCCCGGCACUGGUGUGCAUUGAUUCACUUCUUUUUGGGAUCAAACCAGUCACUGACUCCAAUCUGCCACAAAGCACAAGAGUAAAUGUAACUCGCUGGUUAUUACAGAACAAUAAAAAGAUUUAAAAAAAAACCUUGACAAACAACACACCAAGUUUAUUUCCCGUGCGGGUCCUUUGACGGUUCGCUCAGCUUUCACACACCUGGCGGCAGCUCUCUGCGCCCCCGGAGCUUUUUCCUUCUUCCCAGAGUCGCUGUCGCACUCACUGCAAACACAUUCCAAAAGUCUCCCAAAUCAUUUUAGAUUCGAUGCGCAUUUCAAUCUCCGCUCGGAUUGACUGGGAACUCAUUCUGUGGAGGAAUAUGAACCUACACACACACACACACACACACACACAUGGAUGCAAAGCCCCUCACACCGCGUCAAACAGCUGUCUUAGCAUUUUGUUUUGGCACGUAACGAGCCGUCGGUGUUGACGGUGCAGUUCCAUGAGUCGGCGUCUCGGGUAAACCAGCACAGAGGCGGAUUCAACCUUGAGUUUUGGAUAUUCCCAAUUUUUUUUUUCGGGAGAGGAAAUAACUGACUACCAAAGUGGUGCUAAUUAAAAGCCCGUCGCCAUGCGUUCCCUCCGUGUGCACAGAGGUCAGCAGCAGUGGCAGCUCUCGGCCCGGGGAUCAGGGGGGCGUGUCUCUCAACAUGCCUUAAUUAAACAGGAAUAAAACCUUUUUUGUCUUGUGGCGAAUGCUUUUCGCUUUGCUUAGAGACGUUUACGGUUUCUGUGACUAAAAGUGCAAUCGACGGCCCGCUUUGCAGCAGUGUUUGAAUAGCUGGUGACACCGGCGCCGCUCUCCUCCGUGGCGAACGUAAGCCAUCAGAUGGCGAGGGAGCUGGAAAUCCUCCCGCCGUAAUCGCGGACCGAGAACCACAAACCGAAAUCAUUUCUCGCCAAUGGGACAUUUGGGAUUAACUGAACACAAAGGAGCUUUUCUUUCUCUCCCCUCCACUGUCUCCCGGCCGCGUUUGGCUGGUGUCGCCCAGUUACUCGGGGGCUUUUUUUUGACGGAGCCACAACUCAGAAGUGACUCUGCUCCGGCGAAUUCUGGGGCAAGACGAGUCCCUCCUGGUGUUCUCUUGGAGUUCCGCCUUUCCAAAGAGUCCCGGCCCGGUCAGCCGUGUGGCGCUCGUAGCUCCUCAGCGGCCAUUAAAGACGUGCUCUGUCUUCCACAGUUGGCAACGUGUUUGCUGUGCUCGCACUUUGCCAUUUUAACAGAUGACCACGCAGUGAAAACUUAUUUAACCCGGAGCCUUUCUGCCUUGCGUAUCCUCUGGAAUGUAAAAAAACUCUCUUAACCAAUCGACUGAAGGAUAAUUUAUAGAAGAGCUUUUUUUAGAAAUAGCCUUUGCUUUCCAUUGGGCUGCUUUCGCCGUUCUCACCACUGGAUGACUCUUCAGGGAAUGAAGUAAAGGCAAAGAGAGCAGAAGAUCAGCACCCGGCUGCUGCUGUACACAAAACAAGAGGGACGGCUUUGUCGUGUGUAUCACACAAGUCACACAGGGAUGCACGACACCUGCGGGAGUGUAAAUGGGUAUUUGCAUGGUAUUGGAUGUUUAGUUGAAGAGGUGACACGUUAUGCUAACUCCAUUCAUGCUGCAGAAACAAAUCAACAAUGAACCACCGUCUACCUGAUUUAUAACCUUUAAUCAAGUGAUUUCAGGAACAUUGCGCAUGAAUUGUGAGCGUCGCUCUCAAUCGGAAACGCUCCUGUAAUAGUGAACAAAGAUGGAGAAGUUGCUUCCCUCUGUCAUCAUCAUCUCGCUCCCGUAACGGUUGGAGUUCACGGGCGACGCUUCAGCAAGUCAGACCUGCUCGAUUACUGAGAGGGGAAAAAAAGGUCCUUUCAUCAAUUAAUAUAAAAGUGUGAUUGAACACUGAUUUGGAUCCAGCAGCCGGAUUGUCGGGCACGACACGUCCGUUCUAAUCAGGAUAAGGAGACUCCUAAAAAAUUAAAAUCCAUACAGACAAAACAAUGUUUGGGUUCGCUUCAACAUCCAAUAUUGAUCGAGCAAAGUGCAACCGUAUCCGCUACAAAAUGUGUUUCCCUGGAAACGAGUGCAGUUUAGUUGUAUGAGAAUGUAAUUGUGCAGGAGACGGUUGAGAUAUGUUGCUUUCAGCAAAAUGGCCACUAAAGGAAGAAGGCGGCAGUUAAGAAAAUGUGUAAAUUGUCUUGGAUAAUUGGGCACAUCUACUAGAUACAUUAAUAUUUGAUAAGCAUUUUACCUGAUGUAUUUACCAGGGACUUAUAGAUAUACGGAGGUUGGGGGUGAGGUUGUUAAAAAUACACACGUGUAUUUCUAUCUAACGUCAGCUCUUCUUUAAUCGAACGCUGCGUACAGCAGAAAAUGUUUUGCACGAGGUAAAUGUGAUUGGAUGCGUUUGCCAUCACUAAACGAGAGCGUCGAGACGAUUUAAGGAUUUUUAAUUAUGCAGGGGUGCUGCUGCAGCCCCGCAGACUUCCCCACACAACACUAAUUACAAGCAAGUCCAUGGGAGACGGCGCUGCAUCCGAGCGUUUGAUUUCUCCACCAAAAUAAACGGGCUGCUAUUGAAAUGUAUUUACAGCAGCAGCCCACGUGACUGAGCUCUUUAUUUAAGGAGCCCAAACCAUAGAUUUGUCCCAGUGCAAAUGAAACGUAUAACUGUUGAAGUCAGAGACUUAAGAGCCCUUGCUGACUUGGUGAGCUUCCCUCCCUUCGGCUGAGGCUAAUGAAGCCUUUGCUUGCCUUCCCACAUAUUGCAAAUCUUUCAUUUUGGGAGACUGAUCAGUCCAACUGGUUCGUCUAUCUCUGGCCAAUCCAUAUUCUCCUUUCUUUCUUAUUGGUAUUCAUGCGCUUAGCGGUCGUCUCUCUCCUCAUUUGUAGCUUCACUCGAACAAGCAGAGCCUUAAGAAAAUGUUAGUGUGCUCCCCGUGAACACCUUGUUCGACAAAAUGAGAACUAAAAUGAAAACUGGCUGAACAGCUGAAGGGGAGGCGUGUUUAUCGUCUUGCCGCGAGGCCACUUUAAUCAAAAUAGCAUGUGUUUAACAGCACACGUCAACAGUCUCACAUUAAUUAAUGACACUCUCCAUAUCAGAAUGAUCAUUGAACACUUAAGUGACUUUCUGCUAAAAUAAAGGAUGAUGGGGGGACUUUCUCAUGCUUGAUCAGCCUUUCAGACAAGAGAUUGGAACUUAAUGAAAGUGUGAGGUAUGACAUUUCAUGUCAUAUUGUCCGGUUGAUGGCAUCGGCACUGUCGUCACACACACCAGGGAACGGAGGGCUGUUCAACACUGUGAAGCUCUCUUUAUUCCAUACACCUCUAUAUACGAUAGGCAGUGACAAAGAGCAAUGAUUACUUCUGCAGUACAUAAAUAUUUGAACAGCUACACCCAAAAGGAUCCCUAUAUGGGGUGUUUGUGCAGGAUUUUGGAUAUGUUUGAUACCACGGAGAGGAAAUAGAAGGUGACAUCGGAGCGUUUAGGGGGUCUGAAAUGAAGGAAGCAAAUACAGCCGGUGCACAGUCGUCAAAAUAUGAACCAAAUGUAAAAUUAACAAAGAAAAAAAGGGGAUGGGGGAUUGAGAAUAAAGGGAGAAACUCUUUGGUAAAGUAAAUUCGGUCUAAGAAACAGCGUUCCUCUCUACAGGUUGUUCUUUAGAUUGCAUAAUUGGACAACCCAUUCCGUUACCACAAGUCCUAUAAAAGCCGGAUGUCCUUUAAAAAGGCCACAGGUCGUCUUAUUAGCUCCCUGGGAACCGUACCCCUGCAUUUGAAUGAGGAGCACCAUGACGAGCCUGUCACAGAGGCCACGGUGGGGCGGAACGUGGCCACGGAGAUGUAGAAGAAGAAAAGUACAGGGGACACGACGAGAGGACGCAGCGUCUAAGGUAAUGUGUGUGUGUGUGUGUGUGGGGGGGAGAGAACAGGUGUGUGUGAGAGAGACAGAGAGAGACAGACAGAGAGAGAGGGAGUCACCGUGGAGGGGGCGAUUGGAGCUGUUCUCCCCUGUUGUAUGCACCAGAUGGUCUUCAUUGAUUAUUCAUUGCAUGCGAUGGAUGUCACCGCACACGGCUCUGCUCCAUUCUGCUCCCCGCCUCGGUGCACCUGGGGGGCAGAGAGGUGGGGGCGAGGGGAGGGGGAGGGGGGGGCGCAGAGUGCGGAUGUUGCAGUGGUUUUGGAAAUUGCAUCACGGCAUCUCACACUGCGUAACACACGCAUGUGCCUUGCGCGCUCCCGCCGACGUGCAGGCGGUCCGGACUGGGGUGUGAUUGGUCCGCAGGCAUCAGUAUUGACCUGCACUGGUUUACGUGUCUGAUUUCAGGUUGAUUUGAGCAUGAAUGAUGUCGUCAGAAAAGAAAGAGUGACGUUCGUCGUGAUUUCGAGGCCAAUCCGAGAUGUACGCACCAAGCUCAUGGAUGGCGUCCAACAUCGCACGUGCACACGAACUGACAAAAAGGGUUCAGUCAGUAACAUUCGGUCAAUUUUCUCCCACACAGCCAGGUUCUCUCUCUCUCUCUCUCUCUCUCUCUGCGUGUGAUGGGAUUCAGCAUUGCUCUGUCCCUCCCAAUUUGCAUUCUCGAUGACUGAUUCCGCCAGAGACGUUGGCAGAAGGAGCGCCGCGUGGUGUUGACCCGCGCGCCGCCACCCUCACAGCGCAGGUCAGAGACUGCACAAACACACACUCGAAAAGGUUGACCCUCGGCCCCCCCCCCCGUUUGUUCCAGAAAUGGGUUUUUCCCGAAUAUAGAACAUUUUAAUUUUAGGAUGUCAAUGUGAAAACAGGAUUUGGGGAUCUCAGUGAAAAAGAUCACCGUACUUUUCUCUGUUCAGCAUUCUCUCACCCCUGACCGUACAGGUGUGUGUGUGUGUGUGUGUGUGUGUGUGUGUGUGUGUGUGUGUUUCCAUCAGUUUAAGUGGCCACAGUGGUGCACAAGAAUGUGCCACAUUUCAGGUAAUCGAGGUAACGAGGAAGUCUCCUUGUACUGUGCUGUUCACCCCUCGCAAACAAUUAUUAAAUAUGCACAUGCAUGCGCCGUUGAGAUAACAGCACAUUAAAGAAAAUGCUUUUUGUUACAGAGCAGGUGGUGAAUUGCAGCCAAGGACACAGUUGUGAACCAAACCGCACCGAGAAAAUCUCCCUUUGCCUUUUUAUUGCACCAUAAUUAAAACGAACAGUCUUUUCUGCUGUUGUUUUUCUCCCUCAGUUAUAUUCUUUAUGGUUUCAUUGAUUUACCAUUGGCUGUUAUUCCAAACCACAAAGGGCUUGUAGCGGUUUUAGCUCAGAGAUUGUUCCCACCUUCAAUGAUCAUGUGAGUCCUUGGCUUUAUUUCUGUUUUGUUCCCCCGACAGUGUGAGGAAUCUGAAUGCAAAAAUUCUUAAUGGAAUAUUAAAGAAGAAGCGUGUUUGAGAAGGCAUGUGUCACAUUGCAUUAAAUAUAAAGGGCUUCACUUUAAUUGCUUGAGUGCAGAUCCUGGGAAAUGGAAAUUGUGUUACUGCUUUUGGUUCUCCUGAAAUAAAGGCAUUAAUCACAUUCUUAUACAGUAUCUUGGAUGGAACUUUUGCUCUGUGGUGGAUUGCAGAAUGUUUCAGCAACUUCUGGUCAAAAUGGAACUUAAAUAAAACAGUACAUUUAUUGGAGUAAUAAUAAUAAUCCGGGGAUGGAUUUAAUAUUGCAGAAUUGUCAUUUAAAUUCUCCGUUUUGCAGAGUGGUCUGACCUUUCAGGGUCAGGUGCUUGGGACCAGCAUGUAGGUUGUGAUCUGCGAUGAUUAAAGCUGCGUCUCUGAAUAAACCAUUCACGUCACACACAAUUCUCAUGAGCUGAAUUUGUUACUGGCAAAACAAAAGCAGCCAUUUGCGUGCAUAUUUGUGGCAUAAUAUGCAUGUUGGGAAGCUACCUAUCUGUUAAAGCUCAAAAAAAUGUCAUAUACCUGGUAGAUCUUUGUAAUGGUAUAAAAAUAUGCAAUUAAUUGUGAUUAAUCGCAUAUUAAUUGUGAUCACUGUUCCCCUGUUCUAGCAACUUAUUGUGCCUGGUUAGUGCAGAGCUAACCAGGCAGCUGCACCAACAAACAUCAUGUAAAGUUGAAGAGCUCUAACUGUCUGGCAGGCAGUCAGAGUUCUCAGGGUCCACAACGCCCAGAGAGAGAAGCGGCCUGAGAGUCAUUUUCAAGAGUGAAUUGUGUAUCAUGGUGCCAAACGUCGUGACAACAAACCAUCCCAUUUCUUAUUGACUUUGCAGCAAUAUAUAACGUGGAAACCGCAGCGCUAUGCAGCAUUCGUGAAACCCUCGUGUUGGCACAUGCGCACUAAACUUGUAUGAGUGGUUUUGCCCUUGCGGGAAUAAUGCACCUUACAGCUGGCCAAAGCAAGGUCGACGCUCUGACUGUGUCCUUCCCGACCCUCCGAGUAGUGCUACUGUGGCAGUCAUGGCGUUUGGAGGGCGUGCACAUCGGUGUAAACCCGAUAAUUAGCUAAGUGCACUUAUUUAAGUCAGCAGUAAACAAGACGGUGGUGCAGAACGUUAAAAAUGAUGAAAUGAAAUGAAAUGCAACGUAGGCGUGUGUGGUGGGGGUGGGUGAUGGAGGUGGGGGG
Molecule: long non-coding RNA, 9240 nt
Organism: Gasterosteus aculeatus aculeatus (three-spined stickleback)
Lineage: Eukaryota; Metazoa; Chordata; Actinopteri; Perciformes; Gasterosteidae
Source: Ensembl